UUGGCAUGCAGUAAUGACAAGCAAAAAAUAGAAACAACAGUCUUGGCCAGUGAACUUCUGAGUGUUGGAAGUGUGUCACAUUGAAUUAAUGGCAGGAUUUUGUUAACACCAGUAGAGCUUGCCUCUAUGACUGGAGUUUGGUAGUGGUCAUUGCCACAUAU
Mastomys coucha (southern multimammate mouse) is the source of this 161-nucleotide small nucleolar RNA. The record is from RefSeq and is a predicted model, not a curated record. Lineage: Eukaryota; Metazoa; Chordata; Mammalia; Rodentia; Muridae.